This 484-nucleotide ribosomal RNA is filed under the name uncultured bacterium. RNAcentral's name for it is "partial 16S ribosomal RNA". It matches the Rfam family "Bacterial small subunit ribosomal RNA", at positions 28 to 523 of the family's 1533-position model. The record is from RNAcentral.
GACGAACGCUGGCGGCGUGCUUAACACAUGCAAGUCGAACGAUGAAGCUAGAGCUUGCUCUGGUGAAUUAGUGGCGAACGGGUGAGUAACACGUGAGUAACCUGCCCCGAACUCUGGGAUAACCGCUGGAAACGGUAGCUAAUACUGGAUACGACCUACGAAGGCAUCUUCUGUAGGUGGAAAGAAUUUCGGUUCGGGAUGGACUCGCGGCCUAUCAGCCUGUUGGUGAGGUAAUGGCUCACCAAGGCGACGACGGGUAGCCGGCCUGAGAGGGUGACCGGCCAUACUGGGACUGAGACACGGCCCAGACUCCUACGGGAGGCAGCAGUGGGGAAUAUUGCACAAUGGGCGCAAGCCUGAUGCAGCGACGCCGCGUGAGGGAUGACGGCCUUCGGGUUGUAAACCUCUUUCAGUAGGGACGAAGCGCAAGUGACGGUACCUACAGAAGAAGGACCGGCCAACUACGUGCCAGCAGCCGCGGUAA